Molecule: ribosomal RNA, 467 nt
Filed under: uncultured bacterium
Lineage: Bacteria
Description: partial 16S ribosomal RNA
Rfam family: Bacterial small subunit ribosomal RNA
Source: RNAcentral
ACGAACGCUGGCGGCGUGCUUAACACAUGCAAGUCGAACGGAAAGGCCCUGCUUUUGUGGGGUGCUCGAGUGGCGAACGGGUGAGUAACACGUGAGUAACCUGCCCUUGACUUUGGGAUAACUUCAGGAAACUGGGGCUAAUACCGGAUAGGAGCUCCUGCUGCAUGGUGGGGGUUGGAAAGUUUCGGCGGUUGGGGAUGGACUCGCGGCUUAUCAGCUUGUUGGUGGGGUAGUGGCUUACCAAGGCUUUGACGGGUAGCCGGCCUGAGAGGGUGACCGGCCACAUUGGGACUGAGAUACGGCCCAGACUCCUACGGGAGGCAGCAGUGGGGAAUAUUGCAUAAUGGGCGGAAGCCUGAUGCAGCAACGCCGCGUGCGGGAUGACGGCCUUCGGGUUGUAAACCGCUUUCGCCUGUGACGAAGCGUGAGUGACGGUAAUGGGUAAAGAAGCACCGGCUAACUACGUG